This 251-nucleotide ribosomal RNA is filed under the name uncultured prokaryote. RNAcentral describes it as "partial 16S ribosomal RNA". It matches the Rfam family "Bacterial small subunit ribosomal RNA", at positions 524 to 774 of the family's 1533-position model. The record is from RNAcentral.
UACGGAGGAUGCGAGCGUUAUCCGGAUUUAUUGGGUUUAAAGGGUGCGUAGGCGGCUUAGUAAGUCAGCGGUGAAGUUUUGCAGCUUAACUGUAACAGUGCCGUUGAUACUGCCAGGCUAGGAUUUGGUUGCUGUGGGUGGAAUGUGUGGUGUAGCGGUGAAAUGCUUAGAUAUCACACAGAAUAUCGAUUGCGAAGGCAGCUCACAAAGCCAAGAUUGACGCUGAGGCACGAAAGUGUGGGGAUCAAACA